This 1884-nucleotide long non-coding RNA is filed under the name Homo sapiens (human). RNAcentral's name for it is "HSALNT0343189". Lineage: Eukaryota; Metazoa; Chordata; Mammalia; Primates; Hominidae. The record is from RNAcentral.
CAGGUGGACAAUAUAUUUUCUGAUAGGAUCUUACCUGUUCCAGUAAUUGAUACAAGGAAUGAUGUCAGAAAACAGACUUUCCCUACAGAUUCUGCAAUGGGAUUCUGCACAUGUUCAAGAAAUAAACAGAAAACAUUCCUAUCAGUGGAAAAAAUGGAAAUUGGUAAUCCAUGCUAUGCAUCAGCAUCACAUUCACAUUUUCAUGUGGUGGCUUGGAGGUAUCAACUAAUAUGUAGAUGACAAGCAUGGUAUUGGGGAAUUGUGGCUAUAGCAAUGUAAUAGCAAUUUGAUAACUAUGAAAACAAUACGAUUAUGCAAAUCAUGGCCCCAAAGAGCCUGUCUGUGGAAAAAAUCAUUGAAGCUCCUGAAUGUCCAAACUCAAAACACAAGUGUAAAUCCACAUUCCUUCCAAGGAAGCAAUAUCUUUGAGAACCUUAAUCCUAGCUGAGCUCUGUUGACCAUAUUUGACAAUAGGAGAUACUAUGAAUAAGCUGAGGUCUUAUUCCCCAAGACUGGGUAAUUUAUAAAGGAAAGAGAUUUAAUUGAUGUACAGUUCAGCAUGGCUGUAAGAAAACUCACAAUCAUGGCGGAAGGUGAAGAGGAAGCAAGGCACCUUCUUCACAAGGUGGCAGGAAGAAGUGAGAAGUAAAGGGGGAAGAGCUCCUUAUAAAACCAUCAGAUCUCGUGAGAACUUACUAUCAUGAGAACAGCAUGAGGCAAACCUCCCCCAUGAUUCAAUUACCUACACCUGGUCUCUCCCUUGACACGUGGGGAUUAUGUGGAUUACAGUUCAAGGUGAGAUUUGAGUGGGGACCCAAAGCCUAACUGUAUCAACUAAUGACAGAGAUUAAGUGGUUUGGGAAUUGCAGGAGCCUAGUGACAACAUUUAACCAACAGAUAAGGGUCAGGCCAUCUGCAGAAGAGAACUAAGCACUCUCGGAAAACCACAUUCUUAUGUGCUACAGAGCCCAGCAGAAAAAGAAACACUGCAUGUGGAACAUCUGUUGACUAUACAGAAAGAGCAGGUAUCCAGGAGUGAGGUCAAACAUAUGCAAUAUACUUUUAUUGCAUAAUUGAAAUGGUGCAUUUGGAUUUGGAAAUUCGCAGGUCUAGAACAAAAAAUAAUUUACGUGAAGAGGUGUAAAUUCCUGAAAAGUGCAACAUUGGGAUAUCUAAUAAGAGCAAGUUUGGGCUUCAGUGAGGAAACAAUAAAAAUUUUGCAGAAGAAGCACAUGAAUAGAUCAUGAGAGUGGGCAAACAGCGUAAGAAACUGUGUCUCACGUUGAUAUCUACCUAAAAGUAUCCAAUACAGAGGAAGCACUUAAAAAUAAGAGAAAUAAGUGGAAUCCUUGUAAGGAUAUAAAACACAAUUUGUCUCAGCCACUCAGCCGUCCAACUUGAACAAUGAGCCCAUUAAGAGAACAGGACGAAAACAAGGUUUUCCUUUCUUUGUCAGAUCUCACUACUGCCAUUGCUGAUAGUCCAGCCUGCCAACAUCAGAGACAAACAUAGAGCACUCAAUAGAGUAGCGUCAACUAAUGGGACAUGUCAAUCACUUAGCAAUAUAUUGAUUAUAUCAGACUUGUCCAAACAGUAGUCCAUUCUUAUUGGAAUAGGUGUUUCUCUAAGAUUUGGGUUUGCCUUUCUAGCCCCUGUGCCUUUGCUAGUACCAUCAUCCAGGGGUUUAUAUAAUGCCACGUUUACACCUUGGCACACAAUAUAAUAUUUACUUAAUCAAAGUAACCAUUUUCUUAUGGUGAGUACAAGUAUUCUUUUUAUUAUGAUUAUGAUUAUUUAAACUAUGAAUAUACACCUUAUACUGGUCUUUGUAUGUGUAAUACAUAUUUGUAUAUGUAUAAUAUACAAAUAUAUAAUAUAUCUUUG